Camellia sinensis is the source of this 569-nucleotide long non-coding RNA. RefSeq lists it as uncharacterized. The record is from RefSeq and is a predicted model, not a curated record. NCBI's taxonomy places the organism in Eukaryota, Viridiplantae, Streptophyta, Magnoliopsida, Ericales, Theaceae.
AAACGGUGGUCUUCGGUUCUCUAUUUCCCAGAGCUCCUCCGUAGCACAUUUGGUUGACCGACAAGGAAGAAGAAAACAAAAUUUGCUCCUUCGAAGAUGGGCUUUCUCACAAGAGAUAUAUAUAUAUAUAUGAUAUAAAUAUCUUCUCGAAGGAGUGCUUGUUGUCCUCUUCUUGCCGUAACUGUCGGUCCUCUUCGUGCCGUAACGCUGUGAAAAUUUGGCAUCCAAAGCUCUACUCCUGCAGUUGCAAAUCCUGGAAGUGGACAGACGCAAACAUGUAAAUAGACUCGGAAUUCAAAUCCAAACCUAUUUCUAUGCGGCUGCCAUCUAAACAGAACAGGCCUUCCUUGAAAAAUGAACUUAACUGGUACAUUUGGAUUCAUUAACUAUAAAAAUGUUUCAUUUUCAGGGAAAUGUUUGUAUCUUUUCUAUUGAUUUAAUUAUUCAUCUUUAAAUAGUUGUUAUGGUUUAAAUGUAUUGUUCUGAAGUGAUAUUCAGUGAUAAUGAAAGAGUUUCUAUAUAAUUAACCUGUUGGAAGCCUAUCAAAUUCGAAGAAUAUAUUUAUGUCU